RNAcentral lists this long non-coding RNA (4598 nucleotides) under Ooceraea biroi (clonal raider ant). RNAcentral describes it as "uncharacterized LOC105276740". Lineage: Eukaryota; Metazoa; Arthropoda; Insecta; Hymenoptera; Formicidae. The record is from RNAcentral.
CGAGAUUACAUCGGAUCACCAUAGAAGAAGAUAUUUGUUAAUUAAAUUAUGUAUUAGAACGAAAUCAGGAUGCAAAUGAUAGAGCGUACGCAGUAUCUAAACUUGACAAUAUUUUAUACUUUAUUUAGAACUCUUUUUCGUUAUUUCUUUGAUUGUUGUUUGAGUUAUCGGUUUUUUGCAGCACAAAUAUAACACAGUUAUAAAAAAAUUCGAAAUUCGAAAAGUGAGGCUAGCAAAAAUUUGGUUUUCCAUUUUCCCUGAAAAAUACUUCAAGAUUGCGUUGCAGUUUGCGACACAAAUUGUCACAAACGUAGCACAACGCAACACGAUUGAGAAAAUCGCAAAACAAGUACGGGACUAAUUUCACACACGUACCGUCGAUACGAAAUAUUUCGCACUUGCGCGCGAAAGACAGAUUGUAAACAAGUCCAUGAAAGCGCGACUAAUUCGUAAUUUGCGACUGCAACGAUUGAUAUAGUUUGAUACGAACGACGAAAGUUUUGCAACGGCGAUUCAUGUGCAAUCUCGGUCACGUGUACGCUCGUGCUGGAACGCACAUGCGGCUGAUAAUGUACGUGCACGUCGCUAAAAGAACGCCCGCGCGAAGGACGUCUCUGAUGAGAGACGAGUGUGCGUAGGACACCGUGUGUCGCGCGCAUUGCUUCAACAACAACGGCUAUUUUCAAGUAAUCGACAUAUCGCCGAAGGUCGAGAAGUUUAACCUUCAACGAGCCGCGCCGUUAACCCGUAAAUGUUCGCGCUAAAAGCGCCACGCUUCGACUCGAAGCAAUUUGCGAAUCACAUCGAAAGAAGGAGUCAUCGAUUGAAGUGAUCCAUUCAUCGCCCCAUCGGCAGGAACUUAUGCACCGGUCUAAUUUAAGGAUGCACUGCCUUGCAAUCAAGAGCGUUGCCUUCGAUUUUGGACAGGUGUUCAAUGCAUAAAAAGAAAAAAAUCAAUGACCACCCUGGCAGCGCGUACUGAGUUCGAAUGAUCGGAACUCUUUCGCGUGGAUCUCUUUUUCGGUCUUCGACCACCCGAAAGACCCGAAAACCGAAAGACCAAGGUAAUUCAACACCAUUUUAUAUUCAUUCACCCGUACUGAUACCCUAUACACCAGUACGUGUUCAAAGCCCUUUGUUCUUGUAAGAGAACAUUGUUGUUCAUCGAAGAAGAAGAAGAAGAACGUUUUCUCGAUUACGGUAUUACAAAGGAGUUUCUCAUAUCCUUGUUAGUUUCUCAUAUCCUUGUUACUUCGUUUCAGGCAUCAAAGAAUGUGUGAUUUUUUAUUUGUUACCUUUUCUUUUGUUUAGUUCCUUCACCUGUUAACAAUCUCAUCUGCUUAUAAUUAUCAUUUUUAAAUAUAAUGGCACAGCACAAUAUAUAGAACGACGCAGACACGGUUAUGAUAAAAAAAAGGAAAGUUUUAUAUCCUCUAUUUGAUAAUUAUAUUAAUAUCACUAAUAAGAGAUUUUACUAAUAAAAUUCAAUUUUACUAAAUGCGAUGCAUGUUGCUUAUAAAUUUUUACCGCUAAUUUAUCUGACUUACGAAUUCAAAAUUUAUUACAGAAGUUAUGAUGAAGUUAGAGGCGCUCCUAUCAUCAAUCGAACGAUAUCUUUUAUUUGCUUUCGAUAGCGGUGACAGAUGCAAAUCAAUAACGCACACUCGCGCCAUGAUUCCGGUAUUUUCCAUAACGAGAGAUCGAGUUUAUUCUCAGCUAGAUCAACAGGUUGGACUGACGCGAAGGUGCGUCCACGCUGUAGAUUGGAGAAGCUAGGCGCGGGUUGGGAGGGUCGAUGGUUCGUAGCAAGGGCAAGCCGGGGCAAGUUUAGUCGCAGUAGCGAAAGGGUUGCUGACUGACGUCACGAUGACGUAAUGCCAAAGGCUACUGCUGUUUUCUCGUCUCGUGGCCGCAUCUGCCCUAUGGCUGACAUUGACACUCCAGGCAUCGAUUUGUUCUUCAACAAGCGUUCGAAUAGCCGAGAUGUGGAUGACCCAUUGACCCAACGAUCCACGAGAGAAGGAGUCGUGAAACUCUCAAUGAUCUCUUCAUCUUACUGGAUUUCGACGUCAGAGAUGCUCUUAAGUGUAAGUACAAAAAUACUUUGGGGAAAGCGCUCUGUGCACGACUUAUUCGCACGACUGCAUUACUGCAUGUUUACAGCUACAAAUUUCGCAAACUAAACUUGCUUCAUAGACAAAAUAAUAAUCAGAGUAAUAAAUUAUGCACGAUAGUUUUUAUAAAUACAGAAUAGAAUUUUUAUUUUUUACAACAAAUAUACAUACAGCCCGCAUUGCGAUGAAAAACAUGUGUCUUUAGGUUGCAAAAUAUUAACGUUCGAUUUCUGAGAACCCAAAAUACUUCGAACGAUUUAUUAUCUUUUUUGUUAUCAUUGUAUUAUUUUGUAUUAUUUUUUUCUAUUAUUAUUAUUUUAGGAGAAUAUUUUAGCACGAAUUAUUUCUGAGUUUUACAGCAAACGCGCGAUUCUAUCAAGAUGUUUCAAGGUUGCAUUAAGGCUUAAAUUUUGCAGAAUAUUGGUGUUACCUAAUAGCAUUUAUAGCUAGGUGAUUGAAAAUUAAUCGCGAUUCGCAUUUCAAAGAAUUAUUUAUCUCAGAUUAAUUAAUUCAAGGUUGAGCGAAUCGCAUAUAUCAGUCGUAGUCCAAGGUUACGAUAUGUGAAUUACAACUCUUAUCAAUUCUUUGCCUGACAAGGUCAAGUCUUCAUUUUUUUCAACGUUAUUUAUUAAUCGAUGUCCCGUGUACGCAUGAAUUUUAUCGCGCUAGUUAAAAAUUAUACACAUUUGUAAAAUAGAUAUCAAUAUCGAAUGUAAUUGGGCGGAAUAGUGUAAUUAGCAAAUCAUAAGGCUAAACGCAUUAAAAUAUUACUGUUACUUUUAAUAUUAUUAAUAAUAUAUUUAUUCUUCUUAUUAUUAUUAUUAUAAUAUUAUACUAAAAAAUAACUUUUUCGCUAUUGAAUUUUAUUGCGGACAAGUUGUUUUACUGUAAACGUAAAUUGUCGAAUAUCAGUAUUUUGUUUUCGAUAUCUCGCUGCUUAUAUUAUAAUAAAAAUAGCUUUAUUAUAUCCAUUAAAGGAGUUACGUAAUUCAAUUCGACCUUUCAUCUUAAUUUCUCAUCGGCGAUGAUAUCGCAAAUGAAGCAUUUAAGACCAGGAAAAUUAGAAUGCAAACAGGAAACGUCGAAUCACGGCAAGACCGCAAAAGAGAAGACCCCCAUCCCGUUGGUGGCACAUUCCUUUUUUUCGGUCAACGGACCGCGCCGAUCGUUGACGUAAUCGUACAGCGGCGGCGACGGCGCUGGGUCGAAGCAGGCAAAAGCGGGAGAAAUAGGCGCGACCUACAUAUUGUUUGGGUUCGCGUUACGCAACCUGCAUGUACGACGACACACGGGGAGGGCAAUGACCCGGCAUGUCGGCGCGGAACAGGGCGGCCACCACGUUGUGAAAGCGUGAGACGGCGGCAUGCCACGUGGCCCACGUGAACGGCCGCUUUCGAGUUUCACGAUGCGUACGGCACGUGGGUGAGUGAUCGCGGGCACUUCCCAGCGUACGAACGAUAUGGUACACUGUAAUUAUCUCGGCGCGAACGAGCGCGGCACGUGCCAAAGGUUUCACUCAGGGGGAGGCUUAACGCACGAGAUUAGUCAUGAGAUCAGGCGCGAUGAUGCCACGCGAGCUCCUAAAACGCUUUAAACCUUGAUGAUCGCGGCGCGCGUUACAACGCGCGAUAUAUAGACUCUCUGCAGCUAAUAUUAGGAAAGAGGUAUAUUGUUGGAAGAGAAGUUACAUAAAUGCAUGGCGCGCGACGUUGGUUGAAACUGUUGGGUUGUGUAGUCGUCCCGUCCUUUUACUUUUUAAUAACGAAUAUAUGUUACGACUCAUAUUAUCAAGAAUUAUCAAAACUUAUCAAAAAUACUAAAGGACGGGAUAGAUAUAUGUUAUAACCCAGUGGAAGAAAGCGGGGCCAUGGAAAGUCCAGCGUGAAUGGUAGAAUGAAAAAGAUGGUAGGUGAAUCAGUCUUCGGGAAGAUGACGAAGUUACAUUUUUAUAACGCUUGAAAGUGAAGAUAAAAUAAAUAGCGCGUCCGAUUAUUUGCAUGUAUGGCACUACUGUAUGCCGAUUGUGUGUUUGAUGAUAAUAUUUAAUAAGGUUAAGCGAACAUCAUUCCGAGCCAUUUCGUCUCUGUAGGUUCUUGCCUGUAAUUAUUCCGGCAUUGACUUGCCACGGGUAACCGGAGCACGUGUCAAGGACGCCGAUCGGUUAGGGUUCCACGCGAGUUAUUCAAGAUUCUCUCGCUUCUCUAGAUUCGCAACCUGUCACCACAAGUCCAAUGGAAUAUGCCUGAGAAAUUUACGGAUCUAUACAGCGCAAUAAAUCAGUAAAAGCAUCUCUUAUCGACGAUAUUGCGCCAUUUUUCUUGAAUUCUGUAAAUUAUUCGAUUCGGACCGAUGUUUUAUCAGCAGAUAUAAUGAUUGUGAAAGAGUACAAAGUUUGUACAAAUUAGAUAUUGUGUACAGAGAUUAAAUCCAGCAUUUAUUUUAUAAAUGUAUAAUAAUAUUUUCAAUACGUUGCAAAUAUAAAAC